UACGUACGAGGCGAGCGUUAUCCGGAAUUACUGGGCGUAAAGCGCGCGCAGGUGGCUUGAUAAGUCGGACGUGAAAUCUCCCGGCCUAACUGGGAGGGGUCGUUCGAGACUGUUGAGCUUGAGGACUGCAGAGGUGGGUGGAAUUCCCGGUGUAGUGGUGAAAUGCGUAGAGAUCAGGAGGAACACCGGUGGCGAAGGCGGCCCACUGGGCAGUCACUGACGCUGAGGCGCGAAAGCUCGGGGAGCGAACGGG
RNAcentral lists this ribosomal RNA (253 nucleotides) under uncultured bacterium. RNAcentral's name for it is "partial 16S ribosomal RNA". It matches the Rfam family "Bacterial small subunit ribosomal RNA", at positions 524 to 776 of the family's 1533-position model. The record is from RNAcentral.